CCUUGUUUCUCAAUGUUUUGGCCAAAAAUUUAUUAUUCAUCACAACAGUUGCAAGUCAACCCACAAGCUUUCCUUAAUACGAUACAAAGAGCAGAAAAGACCCCACAUUGUUCUGAUUAGGAAACUAGGAACAAGUAAAUCAUUGAAACCGUAGACAGCAUUGCUCCUCUUAGCCCAUCCUCUCUAUACCUCAAGGCUCAAAAGUCAUGUUCUCUGCUUCAUGCUUCACAGAUU
Molecule: unclassified non-coding RNA, 234 nt
Filed under: Hevea brasiliensis (rubber tree)
Lineage: Eukaryota; Viridiplantae; Streptophyta; Magnoliopsida; Malpighiales; Euphorbiaceae
Source: RNAcentral